AUCAAAAACAUGUCCUUUUGUUUUUAUCUAAGGUCUGACCUGCCCAAUGAUUUAUUUAAUGGCCGCGGUAUUUUAACUGUGCUAAGGUAGCAUAAUCAUUUGUCUUUUAAUUGAAGGCUGGUAUGAAUGGUUGGACGAGGCAUAAACUUUCUUUAAUUUAAUUUAUGAAUUUAAUUUUUUAGUUAAAAAGCUAAAAUUUAUUUGUUGGACGAGAAGACCCUAUAGAUCUUGAUAUUUAAUUGUUCUGGUAAUUUGGUUGAUUUAUUAUUUAGAUUAAUGUAGGUAUUUGGUUGGGGUGACUUUGGAAUUUUAAUAACUUCUGUUUUUUAUUUUCAUUUAUUUAUGUAUUAUUGAUCCAUUAUUAAUGAUUAUAAGAUUAAGUUACCUUAGGGAUAACAGCGUAAUUCUUUUGGAGAGUUCAUAUCGAUGAAAGGGUUUGCGACCUCGAUGUUGGAUUAAAAUAAGUAUUAGAUGCAGUAGUUUACUUACUAGGUCUGUUCGACCUUUAAUUUUUUACAUGAUCUGAGUUCA
RNAcentral lists this ribosomal RNA (531 nucleotides) under Apiomerus sp. 00001540. RNAcentral's name for it is "partial 16S ribosomal RNA". It matches the Rfam family "Bacterial large subunit ribosomal RNA", at positions 1806 to 2613 of the family's 2925-position model. Lineage: Eukaryota; Metazoa; Arthropoda; Insecta; Hemiptera; Reduviidae. The record is from RNAcentral.